Molecule: RNA transcript, 3355 nt
Organism: Lethenteron reissneri (Far Eastern brook lamprey)
Lineage: Eukaryota; Metazoa; Chordata; Hyperoartia; Petromyzontiformes; Petromyzontidae
Gene: ZBBX
Gene name: zinc finger B-box domain containing
Source: RefSeq, a predicted model, not a curated record
GUCCAAUGGGAGCACGCCUUACUACCACGCGCGGGUGUGACCGCCCAAUCACAGCGCGCGUCUCUGAGCCGUCGCCAAGGCAACGAGAAACGCCCGAGUUGCUUGGCAACCGAGGCGAGCCGUAGGCUUGUGGCCCUCACUUAGGCCUCGCUCUGAAGCAGCGAUCACAACUCUCCCUUAGACCGAGCGUCGUCAUCGUCGUUAAGAACGUUGCUGCUGCUGCUGCUGUUGUUGUUGUUCUUGCAGCGCUCUGUGAUCGCCGGAGGGAAGUUGAGGGCAACGAAAAGGGCGGGCCGGCGGCGUUGACGCGCCGUGCAGGCGGAGAGGUGAAAGGGCCACUCGAGGGAUGGAGAGACAAGGGUUUGUGGUGCUGACUGGAAACAAGGAACCCGUUUCAGCGAAACUCAAAGCUCGCAGCAGCACGCAGGCUCUGCGCGGAGAGACGCUGCAGCUCGCCGUGGAGAACACGGAGCUGGAGGAGCAGCUGGAGAAACUGCGGCGCGAGGGGCAGCGGCUGCGGGAAGAGAAGCGGUCGGUGCUGGAAACCCAACCAAUGCCUCAUUCAUCUUCUUGGUUCUUUCGGCAGGCGGGAGGGUUUCACUGGAAGACUGGGCAAACAGGAGCCCUGACUCUGCCUUCCAAUGCCGUGCCAAGGCAGGGCAGCAAGGUGGGCUCGGGCAAAGUGAGAAUCAGGGUUCUGAAGGAGCAAGUCGAAGAAGUCAAGAAGGCCAUCCCAGUGUCUUCCCCUCAAACCAAGUGGGUGACAGAAGCGAAAAGAGCAAAGAAAUGUGGCCAGUGUGAAAACAAACCCGCCCUGCUGGUGUGUGUGGAGUGCGGCGAGGAUUUCUGCGUGCCCUGCUUCAGCAGGAUGCACCACAAGGGUGCGCUGCGGGCACACCGAUCGCAUCCCAUCCAGACGCCGCCGUUAUCUAACACAAGAGCUCAGGAUACCGGCGUUGGCUUCACUUUACCCUCGCCGCCAUCAACGGAAGUGCGGGAAAGGAGGAAAGUGGACGGUCGAGCGUCAGGAUUCGGCCAACGUGGGUUAGAAGGGGGAGCCAAGAGCGGGCAAACCAUAGGCCCCAUAGAAGCGGAAGCCACACAAGGAGGAAGAAGAGGAGGAGGAGAAGUUGGCGGGGUACAGAAGCCAGGAGGGAAAGAAACGCGAGGCACCUCCGGGCCAGGUGAAGUGUCGUCACGGCGGGGAGAUGGGGGGACGGGAGGCGGCAGGGGCUCUCUCCUGGAGGGGAACUUCAGCGAGGAGGAGUCGUCGCGCGAGUUCCAGGAGGCCGUGGCGGCGUGGCGUGGUGCCGCUGGGCCCUGCGCGCCGGGCCCCGAGCGGACAACACGAGGCUCCGUGUCAGUGUCGGUGGAGGCUCGAGAGGAAAUCCCCAUCCCAGGCAAGGCCUUGCUGAGCCUGAAUUUCCCGGAGAACUCUGCCCUCUCGUACAUGGACCGUCUGCUCCUCAAGAAGCACCGACGCAGGACACCCCUCGAGGGACUAGGAGGGGAAGCAGCGGAGUGGAGGAUGCUAGAGAGACGCUCUGUCCAGUUUGACCACGGAGAUGAAAACGCAUCAGAAAAUCUUGAAGAACGCAAAUAUUACGUGGAGAUUUUUGCCGCACCGCAGGCCUCCAUUCGGGAACCCAGGCCCGAGUCAUCUCUCACCAUCGUAGAGAUGGCAGAGGGAGAGAACUUUCUGGAGGAGACAGAAGGGUUUGUUCUUGAGGAGGAUGGCUCACCCGUGAACGUCAGCUGCAGCGAUGAAGUAGAACCCAGAUAUCUUGCCCAGCACUCUCCGCUGCUGGAUGGUGGCCGCGAGGUAUCUGCAAGAACUCCUCGGCAACAGGCACCAAAACCAGUAACACCAUCUCCGCGUGGUGACCUCGAUGCUUCAGAGAGGGGCCUCACCACUGAGCCAUCAGAGGAUUUGAAGAAUGUUGGGAGCCGCAUCAAAUUGGAGCUGCCAGACUAUCAGGGCCUGCAGGGGUUUUUCUCCAUCGGUCUCAGCGCCGGCGGAGAGCACAGUGGCUCAAGACAUGGACAGAACGGGACGGAUCUUCACGGCAGCCGUCCGGCCUGUGGUACCGUCUCGGCGCGUACCAAUGCAGACGCCGCCCGAACGGCGAGUGCCAGUGGAGGGGCGUUAAGUCUGCUGUCAGGCCGGCACGGAGACUCGCGAUGGCGUGCGGACGACAGCCUGGGCCUCUGUGCCGACGCCGAGCUAACGAAGGCCGUGAUGGAGGAGAGCAGAUCGCACAGGCAGAGGGGCGGCAGCGCGUACAGGCCACGCUCGCCGGCCACUCGACUCGCUGCACGCAGAGACGCGGCGCGAUCUGCCGCCUCUGCCACCGCCCGCCCGUCAUCAUCCCCCUCGUCGUCACGGUCCACGUUCACUCCGCUCACGCCGCUGUCCCUUCGGCCGACGAGGUCAGGGGGUCCGGGCAGAGGAGUGCGGAUGAGCGGCGCCUUGGACGUGGAGUCGAACCGGGACUCGGAUGAGGACGAGGAGCGCAUCGUGGGCAGCCUGGAGAGAGAGCUGGCCCUGGGUCUCAGAAGAUAAGCACAUUUGAGCCUGGAUAGUGCUUGGAUGGGUGACCAGAAUUCAUAGAGAUAUGUUCAGCUGUUCAGAAUCUCCACCAGGGCAGCCCUGGCGAGUCCGGCUAAAUCCACAAACACCCGCAGGUGGCGACAACGCGCAGUGUCUGACCGUGCAGCAGCAGCGUGGGCAAAGUAUGGGGGCGUUGGGAUGGUAUUCGGUAUACGUCCCGCCAGCCACACAACACUGCUGGGAGCUAAAUGUUUUCAAUGUAAUCGGUUUAAUACGCGCACUCUACACUGGGUUUUCGACAUUCAUUAAACUAAUUCCGGGUGAACUGCCAGGUAUUUCUUAACAAAGACCAGUUUGCUUGUUUUAAACACAGUGAUUUUUUUAACGAAAAUAUUUCAAUUCCCGGAAGGCCUGAUCGGACGUGUAAGACGACUGCGUAAGUUUUGGCGUUUGUGCUGUGCAGCUCUCUCCGACGUGUUUUCGGAUCGUACCACGUGUUGUUCGAGACGAUGUUCGACGUUUCGCUUCACGUGCUCGGAGCUUCUUCGGUUUUUUAAGGCGCUUAAGAAGAAUUUUAAGAAGCUGCCAGCACCUGGCGCAGUACGUUGUGCCCAACAGCACAUGGUACAGUCCACACACACAUACACAUCAUCAGAGAGCUCUUCUGGGAUGUGGUUUGCCGUGAUACCUGCAUGCGGAAGAGUGAGGCUUUCGACCGUGGAUAUUUAUCAUUAAUUGGGGGUUUGAACAUGACGUGCCUUGCUUUGAAGUGACUCUAGGAGAAAUACAUCCGUUGAAGUGGCA